CCCCUCUCAGGAUCACAUCUGGAGAGUUUCCAGCAUUCCACUAGUCCUGGCUAUGAUAGGGAGAGUCAAACAGAGGCAUAUCCAUUCCAUUUCCAGCUUGAGCAGUGGCUAGUGAAUGGAAGGCAAUCUGCUACAUUG
Small nucleolar RNA from Ornithorhynchus anatinus (platypus), 138 nucleotides. The record is from RefSeq and is a predicted model, not a curated record. NCBI's taxonomy places the organism in Eukaryota, Metazoa, Chordata, Mammalia, Monotremata, Ornithorhynchidae.